This is an RNA transcript of Armigeres subalbatus, 1233 nucleotides long. RefSeq lists it as uncharacterized. The record is from RefSeq and is a predicted model, not a curated record. NCBI's taxonomy places the organism in Eukaryota, Metazoa, Arthropoda, Insecta, Diptera, Culicidae. The transcript is spliced from 3 exons.
UGGCAGCAUUUGCAUUUUUAAAUCGUGAAACAAAAAUUAUCGCCUGAAAACAAAUUGAGCCAGUCUUUCACUGCCGUUCGUGCUGUUUGCGCGGCUUCCGGAGUUGAACGUUGUUGAGAACUGGAUUCAAGUGACUCAAACCCACUUCAGUAGCCCGUCAGGAAGCAUAUGAGCCUCAUUUCCGUCCAGUGCGUUCGAACAUCAUCGUAUAAAUGUAGCUGCGAUCUACUGAAUCCAGCUAGAUCCAAUACUACAGCUUUGAGUUGCAAGUCUCCUUGGAGCAAAUAUUUAGCCAUAGCGAAUCGACACAACAAUGCAGCUUAUCGGCGAAGCAAUGCUCCUGAUUGUGCUUACCAGUUUUAAUACUGACAAGGUGCGAUUAACCUGUGAUGCUGCUGCUGCAUCCAUUGAUGUGGCACCUUCUACUACAACGCCGGAGUCCAGCUCGCGGCGCUUUAUAUUAAACGUUCAGCGACAUGCUACGCAAAGGCCCACUUUAAAUUCGUCGGCCACUUCAACCGUUAGUCAGGGAUGGUUUCGCCAGAAGUUGGCAAUUUAUUCACGAAUUCAGCCCAGAGUGGUCCGUGACACCACGUGGGCGGAAGAAAAUGGACAAUAUUCUGAAGAGUUUGUGUGGAAGAAAUGAUUAUGGUAUGAACUGACCUGAUGUGCAUCGAAGACGUGGCAGUUGAUUACUUAAACAAGAAAAAAUAUGUUGCGGUUACGUGAAGAGAAACUGUUUUGUGUCAAAGUUCAUACCACAUCAACUCGCGAUUAUAGGAGCACUUAAAAACACACUUUGUUGAAGGUCACAAAUGUGCAGGGACAUUUUUUUACAUGAAAAAAUCGAGUUGAAGAUAUACCAACGUCAAUUGAGCACGCGUUAUGGUAGGAUGAAUCUACGUCGCAUAGAAAGGAAAAAGCGACUCUUUUAUUAACAACUCAAGCGGAUCGAUUGCUGGAAAAUAGAGUGUUGCAAUUUGAAAAUAGUCCUGAAUAUUAAUUUAUUAUGCAUUUAUUCAGAAAUUUCCGUACAAAAAAGGAAGGAGAGGGAGAAAAAGAUUGAAAACCAUGAAUUUUGGCAAAAGUAUAAAAUAGAUGCUAUGCAAUGCUCUUUUGUAGUUUUUAAGCGUUGAAUAUAGUCAGCGUUGAAGACGGAUUCAUAUAGACCAAUAUAAGUGCUGUGUUGUAAAUAAACAAACUCGAUUUAAAUCUAAUGGAAAUAGAAUAAAU